Molecule: ribosomal RNA, 721 nt
Filed under: uncultured eukaryote
Lineage: Eukaryota
Description: SSU rRNA
Rfam family: Eukaryotic small subunit ribosomal RNA
Source: RNAcentral
CCUUGCUACUUGGAUAACCGUAGUAAUUCUAGAGCUAAUACAUGCAGGAAUUCCCGACUUCGGAAGGGAUGUAUUUAUUAGAUAAGAAACCAAACCGGUCUCCGGUUGUGUGCUGAGUCAUAAUAACUGCUCGAAUCGCACAGCUCUACGCUGGCGAUGGUUCAUUCAAAUUUCUGCCCUAUCAGCUUUCGAUGGUAGGAUAGAGGCCUACCAUGGCGUUAACGGGUAACGGAGAAUUAGGGUUCGAUUCCGGAGAGGGAGCCUGAGAAAUGGCUACCACAUCCAAGGAAGGCAGCAGGCGCGUAAAUUGCCCGAAUCCUGACACAGGGAGGUAGUGACAAGAAAUAACAAUACAGGGCUCUCUGAGUCUUGUAAUUGGAAUGAGUACAAUUUACAUCUCUUCACGAGGAUCAAUUGGAGGGCAAGUCUGGUGCCAGCAGCCGCGGUAAUUCCAGCUCCAAUAGCGUAUAUUAAAGUUGUUGCAGUUAAAACGCUCGUAGUCGGAUUUCGGGGCGGGGCCGCCGGUCUGCCGAUAGGUAUGCACUGGCGGGCGCGUCCUUUUUCCCGGAGACGGCUGCUACUCUUAACUGAGCGGUGGUCGGAGACGGGAUGUUUACUUUGAAAAAAUCAGAGUGUUUCAAGCAGGCAGUCGCUCUUGCAUGGAUUAGCAUGGGAUAAUGAAAUAGGACUCUGGUGCUAUUUUGUUGGUUUCGAGCACCGG